GAUGAACGCUAGCGGCAGGCUUAACACAUGCAAGUCGAGGGGUAGAGGAAGCUUGCUUCCUUGAGACCGGCGCACGGGUGCGUAACGCGUAUACAAUCUACCUUUUACAGAGGGAUAGCCCCAGAGAAAUUUGGAUUAAUACCUCAUAGUAUUUUCGGAUCGCAUGAUUUGAUUAUUAAAGUUCCAACGGUAAAGAUGAGUAUGCGUCCAUUAGCUAGUUGGUAAGGUAACGGCUUACCAAGGCUACGAUGGGUAGGGGUCCUGAGAGGGAGAUCCCCCCACACUGGUACUGAGACACGGACCAGACUCCUACGGGAGGCAGCAGUGAGGAAUAUUGGACAAUGGGGCGUCAAGCCUGAUCCAGCCAUGCCGCGUGCAGGA
This 381-nucleotide ribosomal RNA is filed under the name uncultured bacterium. Its description in RNAcentral is "bacterial SSU rRNA". It matches the Rfam family "Bacterial small subunit ribosomal RNA", at positions 28 to 408 of the family's 1533-position model. The record is from RNAcentral.